This 301-nucleotide ribosomal RNA is filed under the name uncultured bacterium. Its description in RNAcentral is "partial 16S ribosomal RNA". It matches the Rfam family "Bacterial small subunit ribosomal RNA", at positions 509 to 807 of the family's 1533-position model. The record is from RNAcentral.
CAGCCGCCACGGUAAUACGUAGGGUGCGAGCGUUGUCCGGAAUUACUGGGCGUAAAGAGCUCGUAGGCGGUUUGUCGCGUCGUCUGUGAAAUUCUGCAGCUUAACUGUAGGCGUGCAGGCGAUACGGGCAGACUUGAGUACUACAGGGGAGACUGGAAUUCCUGGUGUAGCGGUGAAAUGCGCAGAUAUCAGGAGGAACACCGGUGGCGAAGGCGGGUCUCUGGGUAGUAACUGACGCUGAGGAGCGAAAGCGUGGGUAGCGAACAGGAUUAGAUACCCGCGUAGUCCCUGUCUCUUAUAC